RNAcentral lists this ribosomal RNA (465 nucleotides) under uncultured bacterium. Its description in RNAcentral is "partial 16S ribosomal RNA". It matches the Rfam family "Bacterial small subunit ribosomal RNA", at positions 29 to 507 of the family's 1533-position model. The record is from RNAcentral.
AUGAACGCUGGCGGCGUGCUUAACACAUGCAAGUCGCACGAUGAAGCCCAGCUUGCUGGGUGGAUUAGUGGCGAACGGGUGAGUAACACGUGAGUAACCUGCCCUUGACUCUGGGAUAAGCCUGGGAAACUGGGUCUAAUACUGGAUAUGACUUCUCAUCGCAUGGUGGGGGGUGGAAAGAUUUAUUGGUCUUGGAUGGACUCGCGGCCUAUCAGCUUGUUGGUGAGGUAAUGGCUCACCAAGGCGACGACGGGUAGCCGGCCUGAGAGGGUGACCGGCCACACUGGGACUGAGACACGGCCCAGACUCCUACGGGAGGCAGCAGUGGGGAAUAUUGCACAAUGGGCGCAAGCCUGAUGCAGCGACGCCGCGUGAGGGAUGACGGCCUUCGGGUUGUAAACCUCUUUCAGUAGGGAAGAAGCGAGAGUGACGGUACCUGCAGAAGAAGCGCCGGCUAACUACGUG